This 317-nucleotide transfer-messenger RNA is filed under the name Salmonella enterica subsp. enterica serovar Muenchen. RNAcentral's name for it is "partial transfer-messenger RNA". It matches the Rfam family "transfer-messenger RNA", at positions 1 to 327 of the family's 374-position model. From Rfam's summary of the family: Bacterial tmRNA, also known as 10Sa RNA or SsrA, is named for its dual tRNA and mRNA-like properties. Its role is to liberate the mRNA from a stalled ribosome. To accomplish this part of the tmRNA is used as a reading frame that ends in a translation stop signal. RNAcentral also lists the same sequence under 15 other names. Lineage: Bacteria; Pseudomonadati; Pseudomonadota; Gammaproteobacteria; Enterobacterales; Enterobacteriaceae. The record is from RNAcentral.
GGGGCUGAUUCUGGAUUCGACGGGAUUUGCGAAACCCAAGGUGCAUGCCGAGGGGCGGUUGGCCUCGUAAAAAGCCGCAAAAAAAUAGUCGCAAACGACGAAACCUACGCUUUAGCAGCUUAAUAACCUGCUUAGAGCCCUCUCUCCCUAGCCUCCGCUCUUAGGACGGGGAUCAAGAGAGGUCAAACCCAAAAGAGAUCGCGCGGAUGCCCUGCCUGGGGUUGAAGCGUUAAAACGAAUCAGGCUAGUCUGGUAGUGGCGUGUCCGUCCGCAGGUGCCAGGCGAAUGUAAAGACUGACUAAGCAUGUAGUACCGAG